RNAcentral lists this ribosomal RNA (303 nucleotides) under uncultured bacterium. RNAcentral describes it as "partial 16S ribosomal RNA". It matches the Rfam family "Bacterial small subunit ribosomal RNA", at positions 507 to 807 of the family's 1533-position model. The record is from RNAcentral.
AGCAGCCGCCGCGGGAAUACAGAGGGUGCGAGCGUUAAUCGGAUUUACUGGGCGUAAAGCGUGCGUAGGCGGCUUUUUAAGUCGGAUGUGAAAUCCCUGAGCUUAACUUAGGAAUUGCAUUCGAUACUGGGAAGCUAGAGUAUGGGAGAGGAUGGUAGAAUUCCAGGUGUAGCGGUGAAAUGCGUAGAGAUCUGGAGGAAUACCGGUGGCGAAGGCGGCCCCCUGGACAAAGACUGACGCUCAGGUGCGAAAGCGUGGGGAGCAAACAGGAUUAGAUACCCCUGUAGUCCCUGUCUCUUAUAC